This 497-nucleotide ribosomal RNA is filed under the name uncultured bacterium. Its description in RNAcentral is "partial 16S ribosomal RNA". It matches the Rfam family "Bacterial small subunit ribosomal RNA", at positions 28 to 507 of the family's 1533-position model. The record is from RNAcentral.
GACGAACGCUGGCGGCGUGCCUAAUACAUGCAAGUCGAACGCUGAAGAGAGGAGCUUGCUCUUCUUGGAUGAGUUGCGAACGGGUGAGUAACGCGUAGGUAACCUGCCUUGUAGCGGGGGAUAACUAUUGGAAACGAUAGCUAAUACCGCAUAACAAUGGAUGACACAUGUCAUUUAUUUGAAAGGGGCAAUUGCUCCACUACAAGAUGGACCUGCGUUGUAUUAGCUAGUAGGUGAGGUAAUGGCUCACCUAGGCGACGAUACAUAGCCGACCUGAGAGGGUGAUCGGCGACACUGGGACUGAGACACGGCCCAGACUCCUACGGGAGGCAGCAGUAGGGAAUCUUCGGCAAUGGGGGCAACCCUGACCGAGCAACGCCGCGUGAGUGAAGAAGGUUUUCGGAUCGUAAAGCUCUGUUGUAAGUCAAGAACGGGUGUGAGAGUGGAAAGUUCACACUGUGACGGUAGCUGACCAGAAAGGGACGGCUAACUACGUG